This 254-nucleotide ribosomal RNA is filed under the name uncultured bacterium. Its description in RNAcentral is "partial 16S ribosomal RNA". It matches the Rfam family "Bacterial small subunit ribosomal RNA", at positions 524 to 776 of the family's 1533-position model. The record is from RNAcentral.
CACGUAGGGACCAAGCGUUGUCCGGAUUCAUUGGGCGUAAAGAGCUCGUAGGCGGCUCAGUAAGUCGGGUGUGAAACCUCCAGGCUCAACCUGGAGACGCCACCCGAUACUGCUGUGGCUAGAGUCCAGUAGGGGAGCGUGGAAUUCCUGGUGUAGCGGUGAAAUGCGCAGAUAUCAGGAAGAACACCCGUGGCGAAGGCGGCUCUCUGGAACGCAACUGACGCUGAGACGCGAAAGCGUGGGUAGCAAACAGG